CCUACGGGGGGCUGCAGUGAGGAAUAUUGGUCAAUGGACGAGAGUCUGAACCAGCCAAGUAGCGUGAAGGAUGACUGCCCUAUGGGUUGUAAACUUCUUUUAUAUGGGAAUAAAAUGUUCCACGUGUGGGAUUUUGUAUGUACCAUAUGAAUAAGGAUCGGCUAACUCCGUGCCAGCAGCCGCGGUAAUACGGAGGGUCCGAGCGUUAUCCGGAUUUAUUGGGUUUAAAGGGAGCGUAGGUGGAUUGUUAAGUCAGUUGUGAAAGUUUGCGGCUCAACCGUAAAAUUGCAGUUGAAACUGGCAGUCUUGAGUACAGUAGAGGUGGGCGGAAUUCGUGGUGUAGCGGUGAAAUGCUUAGAUAUCACGAAGAACUCCGAUUGCGAAGGCAGCUCGCUGGACUGCAACUGACACUGAGGCUCGAAAGUGUGGGUAUCAAACAGGAUUAGAUACCCUGGUAGUC
RNAcentral lists this ribosomal RNA (460 nucleotides) under uncultured bacterium. RNAcentral describes it as "partial 16S ribosomal RNA". It matches the Rfam family "Bacterial small subunit ribosomal RNA", at positions 338 to 795 of the family's 1533-position model. The record is from RNAcentral.